AGAGUUUGAUCCUGGCUCAGAACGAACGCUGGCGGCAUGCCUAACACAUGCAAGUCGAACGAUGCUUUCGGGCAUAGUGGCGCACGGGUGCGUAACGCGUGGGAAUCUGCCCUUAGGUUCGGAAUAACAGUUAGAAAUGACUGCUAAUACCGGAUGAUGUCGAUAAGACCAAAGAUUUAUCGCCUGAGGAUGAGCCCGCGUAGGAUUAGCUAGUUGGUGUGGUAAAGGCGCACCAAGGCGACGAUCCUUAGCUGGUCUGAGAGGAUGAUCAGCCACACUGGGACUGAGACACGGCCCAGACUCCUACGGGAGGCAGCAGUGGGGAAUAUUGGACAAUGGGCGCAAGCCUGAUCCAGCAAUGCCGCGUGAGUGAUGAAGGCCUUAGGGUUGUAAAGCUCUUUUACCCGGGAUGAUAAUGACAGUACCGGGAGAAUAAGCCCCGGCUAACUCCGUGCCAGCAGCCGCGGUAAUACGGAGGGGGCUAGCGUUGUUCGGAAUUACUGGGCGUAAAGCGCACGUAGGCGGCUUUGUAAGU
Molecule: ribosomal RNA, 535 nt
Filed under: uncultured bacterium
Lineage: Bacteria
Description: bacterial SSU rRNA
Rfam family: Bacterial small subunit ribosomal RNA
Source: RNAcentral